GGGGAAUAUUGCACAAUGGGGGAAACCCUGAUGCAGCGACGCCGCGUGAGGGAAGAAGGUUUUCGGAUUGUAAACCUCUGUCUUCGGGGACGAAUGAUGACGGUACCCGAGGAGGAAGCCACGGCUAACUACGUGCCAGCAGCCGCGGUAAAACGUAGGUGGCAAGCGUUGUCCGGAAUUACUGGGUGUAAAGGGAGCGCAGGUGGCUCUGCAAGUCGAAUGUGAAAUCCACGGGCUCAACCCGUGAAUUGCGUUCGAUACUGUGGAGCUUGAGUGGAGUAGAGGCAGGCGGAAUUCCCGGUGUAGCGGUGGAAUGCGUAGAUAUCGGGAGGAACACCAGUGGCGAAGGCGGCCUGCUGGGCUCUAACUGACACUGAGGCUCGAAAGCGUGGGUAGCAAAC
Molecule: ribosomal RNA, 401 nt
Filed under: uncultured bacterium
Lineage: Bacteria
Description: bacterial SSU rRNA
Rfam family: Bacterial small subunit ribosomal RNA
Source: RNAcentral